GUUAAGGCACUGCAUUGAUUUGUCAAAUUAUAUAUACAAGCAAGCAGUAAUGUCAGUACCUUUCAUUCCAGGAUAAUGGGAGCACUACAAAAUAUUUGUUGCAAAAAGGAGUCCAUUCCGAAGAAAUGCAAACCAAUGGUCUGGAUUCAUGCUGCUUUCUGCUUAUUUCCCUGUUAUGCACCCUGAGCCUUUAGUCAAACCCAGCUGGGUCUAGGCUCCAGCUUUGAUAUCUAUAGAGAAAUGUUGUUCCCCUCUAGAGUCAGAGUAACAGGAAGGGGGCAGCUCUAUCCUGUCCAGGCUCCUGUCCCAGCAGCAGCAUCUAUAGAAAAACUUCUGCCUCAAGGAGAAAGGGGGGCUUCAGGAUCAGAGUCAGGGCUGUCAGCCACCUGCCACAGACUCCCCUGUAUAGCUCACAUCCCCAAGGAGCCCCCCAGGAGCUUCACCUUCCAACACCAGCCUCAGGGGUACUAGAUCUGGGUUGGAUGGGAUGGUGGUGUUUCCCUGUGCACGGCGUCAAACUCAGAACUGAACCAGCAUAUCCUUGGGUUUAGAAGUAAACGUUCUGACUUUGAAGGAUUCCUACUUGCUCCUUUUUGGGGGGACUAUGCACACACCUGGGAAUCUCAGCACAGCCAGACAUUAGCAGCUCUUCCUGUUCGCCCACUUCUCUAGCUGUGAGGACAGAACCCCACCGGCUGCAUCAUGUGUGACCACCUCCCUCUAACUGAUGACAAAGCUUUUCCAACUCAAAACCUCAUGCUUGCCUCUCUCCGCACAUGCAUCUGAUAUAAACAAUGCAAAUCACUUUUAAUAACCUGUUUGGAAAAGGAGGCCUGUUACAACAUAAAUAUAUACUGUUUUAUAUAUAUACAUGUUGGACUUCUACAAUCUGGGGUUCAGGAGGAUCCCAAGGAGCAAGGAGGAUCCAUGAGGAGACAUGGGACAUAGUGUGCUGGGUAGAGCCUUAGACCCACAGUAUGUGCUGGUUACAACUUAAUUCUCAUCAGCGUGGUGACAGAGGAUAUUCUCCCAAAUUAUGUGGCAUUCAGUGCCUCACAUGAAAGAGGGAGCUCAUGACUGAGCUUCAUCAUUGAUGAGAAACUUAAUGUACAUUAACUAUGUCAGGAUGACAUACACUCUAGAAAUGGACCCCAGAAUCAUCAGCAGGCCAAGGCCCUGAGUCAUCUAGCCUCCAAGUCCCUAACCUGUCUCAGCAUGUCACCUGCCCCCAGCCCAGGCUCCAUCUCCCCACCCCUGAAUCACCAGCUCAUGCCAAUGACAGCCAGCACCCAGCAAGCAAUGUUGACCUUCAUAAUCAAAUCCUACUCCACCAGCUCUAUUCUGGUGGGCUUGCACCUGGAAGAUGGGCAGUGGGGACCAAGGGGAAGGAGAAAGAUGAAUCAAAGGAAAUCUCCACCCCAGCCCUGCAUCUUCACAAGGCAAUGAGCUGGGUUCUAGGGAACUCCAGCCAUCAUGUACCCAACAACCCUCUGCUAGACCCUGAACUACUGGGAACACAGGAUGAGGACGUCACAGACUCUGAACUCAAGGAACAGACAGUUGAGUGAGGAGGAAGCAGGUGGGCAAUCUGGUAAAUUCCCCCAUAUGGGAGCUGUGUCAUGGAGGUUGGGGGUAAGAAUAUCUCCCAAGCAGUGCCCAGGGGUGGGUUCUAGAAUAGGCAGCAGGCUACCAGGCAAGGCGGAGUGUGCACUGGCACAGGGGCACAGGAAGGCUCAUGGGGCAGGGAACUGGAGUUCCCAUUGUGGUUCAGCAGUCACAAACCCAACUAGUACCCAUGAGGAUGCGGGUUCAAUCCCUGGCCCCACUAAGUGGGUUAAGGAUACAGCAUUGCCAUGAGCUGUGGUGUAGGUCGCAGACGAGGCUCAAAUCCUGUGUUGCUGUGGCUGUGGCCUAAGCCAGCAGCUGCAGCUCUGAUUGGACCCCUAGCCUGGGAACUUCCAUAUGCUGCAGGUAUGACCCUAAAAAGACAAAAAAAAGAAGAAGAAGAAGAAGAAGAAGAUUCAUUCAUCUGCCAGGAACAGGUGGGCACCCACUAAGGGCCUUUUGAGAUAGGCCAAGGAAAGUGGACCGGAAGUGAGGAAGGAAGGCAUUUUGAGCGGGGGGAGGGGGGAAGAUUUGGUGUGUGUGUGUUUGGAAGAGCCACCAAGGGCUGUGUAGAGUUGAAUUGAAAGAGGAUUCAGUCCACAGGCUGGUAGGAUACCGAAAUGCAGUCAGACAAGGAGAAUCCAAAUGACCAAGUGCUCACCAAACAGUGGGGGUCCUUACUGCUCCACUCCUUACUGCUCCCCCCACCACUGUCCUGAGUUGGCUACAGUAGAAAGACCAGAGUCAGGGGUAUAGUGUCUGCCAUAGGAAGCAAGGACCUGAGACAAGGACAUCCCAGGACACUGAAGAACACAGCAGAACAACAGAUAAGGAUCAGUGUUCUACAGGCUGCUGAGUCAGAAGCACUGGCAGCCACUCAGGAGAGGCCCUGCCCUGCCUUUAAGCAGAUGCAGUCCAUCUGGAGAAGCAGGUGAGUCCUUGUGACUAAUGGAGGGGAGACACUGGGCUGAAUACCCGUAUCCAGGCAGCAUUUCUGUGCUUGAGUCUGAGCACCCCCAGUCUAUACAUCUGAGGCUCUCGCAUCACCAUGGACCACGGCCCCCUUUCUCGCCUACUCAGGUGUUCACAUAGGUUCACUGGCGAUUGGCAGGGCUCAGGGUCCCCAGAAAUCAAGGCUGCUGUGGUUCUGGGAGAGGGGAUGUCCAAGUGCACUGCUUCACCUGCCCCCACAAAAGCCACCCACAGCAAGGACCAGGCUGUCUCCAUGCCAGAGUCCAAGAGUGAAAAGACAUCAAGACCCACCAGGACCAGCAGCCAGCAUGGGCAGGAGCCCAGCCUUUUAAGGAUCUGUAGCUGCCACUGCCAGCGUUCAGAUGACAGAAGGUGUAUCUCCUAAACUCAUCCCUGGAGGGCCUCCACAAUUCGGACACAGGAGCUAAAUCACUCUAAUAUGGAUUGAGUGCCCUGACAGAGACCCAUCUGCUUCACACAGCCCCACACCCCCAAGACUGCCACCCUGCCCAAAAUGCCACCAGGGUACAAAUGUAUAAGCUUACGGCUACAUGGGUACAUUGCCCUCUAAAUGCACAUGUUGCCAAGUGAAAUUACGCAUCCUGUCCCAUUACCUUAGUUUACAGGAAUGUCAGUGUUUCCUCUCUGAUAAGAUGAUGUAAGUAGAGCUUUAGGGCACCAUGCCCUAUGGACAAGGAUGGGGAGGGGGCAGUCAUAACUCCAAAUUUCCUCUAUGGAGGCCCAUUUGGUUGGAAGUAUGAAACACAGGUGACUUGUUUUGAAGCUGUGGCUGCACAAUGAGCUCUCUGUCUUUAGUAAGAGUAAGCGGUUCUGAUCCACAGAAAUAGCCAAGUUUCCUAAAGACGCUUCUAUUCACAUUUCCCAUUAGAUUGAGAAAAUAAAUUGUAAAAUUAGGAGGAUAAAUGAUUCUCACCAUUAUUGGUAGAAUUUUCAGGAGUGGCUUCUAAGGAGCAGCCCAACCCCACCUCCAGAAGCAGUC
RNAcentral lists this long non-coding RNA (3577 nucleotides) under Sus scrofa (pig). RNAcentral's name for it is "lncRNA (ENSSSCG00025042736.1)". The record is from RNAcentral. Lineage: Eukaryota; Metazoa; Chordata; Mammalia; Artiodactyla; Suidae.